Molecule: long non-coding RNA, 595 nt
Organism: Heterocephalus glaber (naked mole-rat)
Lineage: Eukaryota; Metazoa; Chordata; Mammalia; Rodentia; Bathyergidae
Source: Ensembl
GAACAUUUAUAUUAUCUUGCUCUGCAGAAAUAAAAUAGUUUGCUGAACACUGACAUACAGAGGCUGCCUAAGCAAUUGUGGCUGAUUCCUAAACUGAGUUCAAAAUAUUAUCCAACUGGCCCUGAUACCAUCCCAAGCAGAUUAACUGCUUGUCUGAACUCCUAAAACAGGAAUGAUGAGCCUCUGAGGAGAUGAAGAGACUUCCUGAUUAACUCAUCUGUUUUCGUCUCCUGUAAUAUGAAGUUACCCCUGUGCCCAGAGUGUUCUGCUUCUUGGGAAGAGCUGCAGUUCUCAUUUUACACACAGUGACAGCCAGAAGGUCAGGUCAACAACUGAAGUGCUACAGGCUGAGCCUGAAGAUGGUCCUUUGCCUCCAACCUACUCCCUUUCUCCUCCCUGCUGCCUUUCUCCUCCAUAGGUUAGAUAGUCAAAUAAACAGUCUGUUUGACUAAUAUUGUGGACACUGGAUGGCACAGCCCUAAGAGACAGUUACAUCAUGUAUCCUUCCCUGUUGCCUUCCCGCGCAUGCCCUGAUCAUGAAACAAUCACAUUAUGUCCCACCUAGGCCACGUAGGCCACGCAGCACAAUUUGCCC